RNAcentral lists this microRNA precursor (137 nucleotides) under Hordeum vulgare. Its description in RNAcentral is "microRNA MIR1122". It matches the Rfam family "MIR1120/MIR1122 microRNA precursor family". Lineage: Eukaryota; Viridiplantae; Streptophyta; Magnoliopsida; Poales; Poaceae. The record is from RNAcentral.
CAAAUACUCCCUCCGUCCCAAAAUUCUUGUCUUAGAUUUGUCUAGAUAUGAAUGUAUCUAGUCAUGUUUUAGCAUUUAGAUACAUUUUAUUUCUAGACAAACCUAAGACAAGAAUUUUGGGACGGAGGGAGUAGAAU